UAUUUUUCUAGGUCCUAGGCCUACUUACAAGCCUCCAGUCUCAAAUUAUCCAGGAUAUCCUAAACCUGAGGAAGGAAUACUUGACAGUCUGGAUGAUUGGGUCAUUGCUCUGAUUGUUAUUGCCAUAGUUGUUGGAGUUGCAGUAAUUUGUGUUGUCCUGUACGGAUAUCUUCAAAGGAGGAAGAAGAAAGGGUAAAUUAAAGCAUGUUUCUUCUAACUUCUUGGUCCUUCUUAUACUUAACAUGCUUUUGUGCAGCUUCAGUUUGUAAUCUGUAUUGCAUGCUAUCUUUUUUUUAAAAAAAAAUGCCUGCAUUAGUUUGUCCUACCAAUUGCAUUUCUUUGCUAAAAAUAUUUUCAGCUACUUCUAACAUCACUGCAACAUAAAAACAUCUGUGCAGAGUUCCUACAGCUAUUAUGACUUUAAGAAAAAUUUCUCUUGGAUUUGAGGUUUAAGUUAUUUAGCAAAUCAUGGACCACUCACUAUGAGGCCUUCUCUACCCUAUUCCCUAUUUCCAAAAUUGCACUAAUGGCCAAAAUUAAAUUUAAAGUAUUUCACUGUGGAGACUUU
This 568-nucleotide small RNA is filed under the name Pongo abelii (Sumatran orangutan). Its description in RNAcentral is "retained intron". The record is from RNAcentral. Lineage: Eukaryota; Metazoa; Chordata; Mammalia; Primates; Hominidae.